GCCAAACAUCUUCCAUGAGUAACAAUGGUGACAAUCUGAAGAGCUCAGAUGGACACUUAACGAGCGGCAGGCUGUGGAACAGAGGACUCUCAAACUGAAAACCAAACAAGACCAAACAUGAAGAAAGCCUACUGUACUUAUGCCAAUGUUACAGGAGACCAGGAGCUCAUCCCAGACAGCAAAAUGCAUAUAAGCAGACACCAGUUCACCUAACUGCACGUCUUUGGACUGCAUGACGAAUCCUGUACAGCAAAGGCUAAACAUUCAAACUCCAGGCACACAGAGUGACAAUGAGAUUCAAACUGUCAGCCCUAGAGUUGUGCUACCCACAGAUUUGCCGGUGGUAUAUUUUAAGAUUUAAGGGUGGUAAAUAUUAUUAUUUUUAAGAAUGAACUAAAUAUGUCUUUAAAAAGAAAUAUGUUUUGAGAAGACCUUUAAA
Molecule: long non-coding RNA, 439 nt
Organism: Brienomyrus brachyistius
Lineage: Eukaryota; Metazoa; Chordata; Actinopteri; Osteoglossiformes; Mormyridae
Exons: 3
Source: RefSeq, a predicted model, not a curated record